UACGAAGGCAGCAGUGGGGAAUAUUGCACAAUGGGCGCAAGCCUGAUGCAGCCAUGCCGCGUGUAUGAAGAAGGCCUUCGGGUUGUAAAGUACUUUCAGUCGUGAGGAAGGUGUUAAGGUUAAUAACCUUAGCAAUUGACGUUAGCGACAGAAGAAGCACCGGCUAACUCCGUGCCAGCAGCCGCGGUAAUACGGAGGGUGCGAGCGUUAAUCGGAAUUACUGGGCGUAAAGGGCACGCAGGCGGUUAAUUAAGUUGGAUGUGAAAUCCCCGGGCUUAACCUGGGAAUGGCAUUCAAGACUGGUUAGCUAGAGUCUUGUAGAGGGGGUAGAAUUCCAUGUGUAGCGGUGAAAUGCGUAGAGAUGUGGAGGAAUACCGGUGGCGAAAGGCGGCCCCUGGACAAAGACUGACGCUCAUGUGCGAAAGCGUGGGGAGCAAACAGGGAUUAGAUACC
Molecule: ribosomal RNA, 453 nt
Filed under: uncultured bacterium
Lineage: Bacteria
Description: bacterial SSU rRNA
Rfam family: Bacterial small subunit ribosomal RNA
Source: RNAcentral